RNAcentral lists this ribosomal RNA (639 nucleotides) under uncultured bacterium. Its description in RNAcentral is "bacterial SSU rRNA". It matches the Rfam family "Bacterial small subunit ribosomal RNA", at positions 70 to 716 of the family's 1533-position model. The record is from RNAcentral.
CUUCAUUGAGACUUCGGUGGAUUUGAUUUAUUUCUAGUGGCGGACGGGUGAGUAACGCGUGGGUAACCUGCCUUAUACAGGGGGAUAACAGUCAGAAAUGACUGCUAAUACCGCAUAAGCGCACAGGGCCGCAUGGCCCGGUGUGAAAAACUCCGGUGGUAUAAGAUGGACCCGCGUUGGAUUAGCUGGUUGGUGGGGUAACGGCCCACCAAGGCGACGAUCCAUAGCCGGCCUGAGAGGGUGAACGGCCACAUUGGGACUGAGACACGGCCCAGACUCCUACGGGAGGCAGCAGUGGGGAAUAUUGCACAAUGGGGGAAACCCUGAUGCAGCGACGCCGCGUGAAGGAAGAAGUAUCUCGGUAUGUAAACUUCUAUCAGCAGGGAAGAUAGUGACGGUACCUGACUAAGAAGCCCCGGCUAACUACGUGCCAGCAGCCGCGGUAAUACGUAGGGGGCAAGCGUUAUCCGGAUUUACUGGGUGUAAAGGGAGCGUAGACGGUGUGGCAAGUCUGAUGUGAAAGGCAUGGGCUCAACCUGUGGACUGCAUUGGAAACUGUCAUACUUGAGUGCCGGAGGGGUAAGCGGAAUUCCUAGUGUAGCGGUGAAAUGCGUAGAUAUUAGGAGGAACACCAGUGGC